GUAGGGAAUAUUGGGCAAUGGAUGAAAGUCUGACCCAGCCAUGCCGCGUGCCGGAUGAAGGCGCUCUGCGUUGUAAACGGCUUUUAUUCGGGAAGAAGAGUAGGGAUGCGUCCUUAUGUGACGGUACCGAAUGAAUAAGCACCGGCUAACUCCGUGCCAGCAGCCGCGGUAAUACGGAGGGUGCGAGCGUUGUCCGGAUUUAUUGGGUUUAAAGGGUGCGUAGGUGGCUUAAUAAGUCAGUGGUGAAAUACGGUUGCUCAACAAUCGAGGUGCCAUUGAUACUGUUAAGCUUGAAAUAAUUGGAGGCUGCCGGAAUGGAUGGUGUAGCGGUGAAAUGCAUAGAUAUCAUCCAGAACACCGAUUGCGAAGGCAGGUGGCUACGAUUUAUUUGACACUGAUGCACGAAAGCAUGGGGAGCAAACAGGAUUAGAUACCCUGGUAGUCC
RNAcentral lists this ribosomal RNA (445 nucleotides) under uncultured bacterium. Its description in RNAcentral is "partial 16S ribosomal RNA". It matches the Rfam family "Bacterial small subunit ribosomal RNA", at positions 354 to 796 of the family's 1533-position model. The record is from RNAcentral.